This 373-nucleotide transfer-messenger RNA is filed under the name Chitinophagaceae. RNAcentral's name for it is "Chitinophaga sp900110995 Standard tmRNA". It matches the Rfam family "transfer-messenger RNA". From Rfam's summary of the family: Bacterial tmRNA, also known as 10Sa RNA or SsrA, is named for its dual tRNA and mRNA-like properties. Its role is to liberate the mRNA from a stalled ribosome. The record is from RNAcentral. Lineage: Bacteria; Pseudomonadati; Bacteroidota; Chitinophagia; Chitinophagales. RNAcentral also lists the same sequence under 1 other name.
GGGGCCGCCCGGUUUUGACAGCAUAGAUCUUUGAGAGUGUAAGCAUGUCGUGCGUUGUGUAAUUAGCACGUAAAUCUGAAUACACAAACUUCAAAAGGCGAGUCUAACUACGCUAUGGCUGCUUAAUCAUAGAUUAAGCCCCAUUAUGGCCGCUUGAGUUGCUGUCUGCUGUGACUCAUUCCGCUGAAUCAAACCAAUAGCAGAAUAGGUAUUCAUGGUUUCCGUGAGUGAAUACUGAAACAACAACGGAUAAGGACUAGGUUGGUUAGUUACGCCCCUUGCCAUGUCUCGAAAACACAAUGCGUAAAUAAGCAUGUAGAAAGCUUUCGGCGGAUAUGUUUGGACGAGGGUUCGACUCCCUCCGGCUCCACCC